This 711-nucleotide ribosomal RNA is filed under the name Phytophthora melonis. RNAcentral's name for it is "eukaryotic LSU rRNA". It matches the Rfam family "Eukaryotic large subunit ribosomal RNA", at positions 81 to 618 of the family's 3401-position model. Lineage: Eukaryota; Oomycota; Peronosporomycetes; Peronosporales; Peronosporaceae. The record is from RNAcentral.
UAGUAACGGCGAGUGAAGCGGGAAGAGCUCAAGCUUAAAAUCUCCGUGCAAGUUUUGCGCGGCGAAUUGUAGUCUAUAGAGGCGUGGUCAGCGUGGGCGCUUGGGGCAAGUUCCUUGGAAGAGGACAGCAUGGAGGGUGAUACUCCCGUUCAUCCCUGAGUGGCUCGUGCGUACGACCCGUGUUCUUUGAGUCGCGUUGUUUGGGAAUGCAGCGCAAAGUAGGUGGUAAAUUCCAUCUAAAGCUAAAUAUUGGUGCGAGACCGAUAGCGAACAAGUACCGUGAGGGAAAGAUGAAAAGAACUUUGAAAAGAGAGUUAAAGAGUACCUGAAACUGCUGAAAGGGAACCGAAUCGUUUCCAGUGUCUAUAAUCCGUGGCAUAUUUCAUUGGCGAGUGUGUGCGUGCGUGUGCUGUGGCAGUGGCUUUUUUGGCUGCGCUCGGUGUGUGUGCUGUGUGUGCUUGCUGGUGCCCUGUGCUGCGGUGGGACGUCAAGGUCAGUUCGUAUGCUGCGGGAAAUGGCUGCCGAGGAGGUAGGGCUUACGCUCCGCGUUUGUCUGUUAUAUCUUGGUGGACGAGUCGUCGCGGUUGGGACUGAGGUGCCUACAACGUGCUUUUGAGUGGGUUUGUGUCUCCGUGUGCGCCGUGUGCGGAUAGCUUGCUAUGCGUGUGUGGUUGUGUGUGGAUUGAUGCGGGCUUUAACUUGUCGCCGUUC